UUAGCUUGUAACUAGCUUGUAGAUAGCUUGUAACUAGCUUGUCACAUUGAUUACAUCAUUAAUAAAAAUGUAGUCUUUUACUUUCUCUCUCAAGGCUACAAGCUCUCAAGCUUUAACAACAAUGGCUACCCUCAUCUUCCUUAUUUCCUUCUCCUCCUUCCCCUAAACUCUCAAAUUCAACAUGGUAUUAGAGCGGGAACGAUCCCGACUCUUCAAUUCCGCAUAAUAUUUUCGUUCAAAUAAACUCAUCAAUUAUUUUUCCCCAAAAUUUUUCUGCUCUGAAAUUUUGCUCGAAUUAGGGUUCUAAUUCGCCCUAAUAUCUCAAAAUUUCGCUCGCAAAUCUUCUUUAAAGCCUUGAAUCAAAUGAUUUUUGAUUCUUGAGUUUUCCCAAAUUCUAGAGUUCUUGAAGAUUUUCGAUUAUUUGCAAGAAUAUGGCAUUUUUGAUAGAUUCUUGAAGCAAUUUGCAUUUCCGUGUUCCUCGGCGUGUCUAAACGGAGGUUAAUUCGUGAUUAGGUUGCGAUUGCUCUUCCGUCGUCGUCUUCUUUGACGUCUGCUUCUGCUACUUCAAGGUUCAGUUGGUAUGCAUUCUGGUGGCCAAUGUACUUUGGAAUUGAAAAUGGCAGAACUUGUGUUGUGGUGAUCAGCAGCUAGCACUCUAUACUUGUUCCUCACAGCAAGCCAUCAACUUUGUGCAGGGUUCAACAAGCAUUUUCCGUUUCCAGCAACUGUUGGGUUCCUACUCUACUUGUUCAUGGUAGCAAGUACCCCCCAGUUUCGAUGUCCAUGGCGCAGACUGUAGAUUGCAGAUUUCAUGGUGCAUACUUCAUAUUUCAUUGUGCAGACUGCAGAUUUCAUGAAGAGAUUUUUACACGCUUUCAAACUGAAGAAGUUUAUCACCAUCUCCUGUUUGAGGGGGGGUAUUUGAGUAUAGAGAAUUAGCUUGUAACUAGCUUGUAAAUACUAAGUAUAAAUACAAUAGUUUGUACUAUCUCACAUUGAUUACAUCAUUAAUAAAAAUGUAGUCCUUUACUUUCUCUCUCAA
Spinacia oleracea (spinach) is the source of this 1042-nucleotide long non-coding RNA. RefSeq lists it as uncharacterized. The transcript is spliced from 2 exons. NCBI's taxonomy places the organism in Eukaryota, Viridiplantae, Streptophyta, Magnoliopsida, Caryophyllales, Amaranthaceae. The record is from RefSeq and is a predicted model, not a curated record.